GGGGAUAUAGCUCAGUUGUAGAGUGCUUACCUAGCAUGUGUGAAGCACUGGGUUCAAUUCUCAAUACCACCA
Molecule: transfer RNA, 72 nt
Filed under: Ictidomys tridecemlineatus (thirteen-lined ground squirrel)
Lineage: Eukaryota; Metazoa; Chordata; Mammalia; Rodentia; Sciuridae
Description: Spermophilus tridecemlineatus (thirteen-lined ground squirrel) tRNA
Rfam family: tRNA
About the family: Transfer RNA (tRNA) molecules are approximately 80 nucleotides in length.
Source: Rfam by way of RNAcentral